RNAcentral lists this long non-coding RNA (2641 nucleotides) under Pan troglodytes (chimpanzee). Its description in RNAcentral is "lincRNA". The record is from RNAcentral. Lineage: Eukaryota; Metazoa; Chordata; Mammalia; Primates; Hominidae.
GAAUGUGGUGGAAGUGAUGAUAUACCAGUUACAGACACAUUUUUUAAGAGGAUUGCAGCAUCCAGGUCCCCCUCUAGGGUUUCUCAUUCUUGGAACAAUUCUUGGAACUCACCCAUCAUACUGUGAGAAACCCAAGCCACAUGUGUAGGACACAUGUUGAUGAUCCAAUUGACAGUCUCAAGCGAACUCUUUGCCAACAACCAGCAUCAAAUGCUGCCAGGUAAAUGGGAAAUCUUGGCUGUCCCAGCACAAUUGAGCCCAUAGAUGAUGCAGCCAAAUCCAAUUUAUAUGAAAAAAGCAACCCCAUUUAGUCCAGUCAACACUAAAAAUAGUGUGAAAUAAUGAAAUAGUUAAGCCAGUAACUUUUGGAGUGGUUUGUUAUAAAAUAAUAGAUAAUUAAAAUAGGAGUCAGCUGUGUACAGAGGUUAAUGAAGCCAUGAGAUGGUUAAGACAAUCAAUAUGUGACAUGAAAGAAAAAAGGCUAUCUUAGUCUGUUUUCUGUUACCUGAAUUCCAUAAACUGAGUAAUUUAUAAAGAAAAUAAAUGUAUUUAUUUCUUACAGUUCUAGAGGCUGAUAAGUCCAAGCAUAUGGUGCCAGCAUCUGGUGAGGCCUUCUUGCUGUGUAAUCUCAUGGCAGAAGAGUGGAAGGACAAGUGAGCACAUGCAAAAGGGAUUGUACAAGACUUAUCUUUUAGUUUCCAGAGGCAGAAAAAAGGCAGAAAAGGUUGUUGAAAUUCUUCACAUUGAUUUCAGGGCAAUGAUCUCAAAUGGCGCAGUGGGAACCAGCAAAUUUAAGAGGGUAGUUUCCCUGCACAAGCCCUUUUUUUGCCUGCUGCCAUCCAUGUAAGAUGUGACUUGCUCCUCCUUGUCUUCUACCAUGAUUGUGAGGCCUCCCCAGUUAUGUGGAACUCAAAGCUAGAGGAAACCAAAGUCAUAGAACAUCUGAACUCUGUCCAAACAUUGGUCAUAUUUCAAAAUUUCAGUAGCCACCAUCCCGCAGCCAACGAUAAUAUCUGACACUUCCUGACAUCAUGAAAGCCACCAUCUGUCUAUCACCAAAACCCUGUACUUUUUAAAGACUACUUGGCUUGAUCCUUAAUGAAGCUUCAAGUUGAAUGCACAGAUCACUUUAGAAGGAAUACAGGGAAUAAUUGACACAAGAGAUCUCCUGGAAAAAGCCCUAUACCUAAUAUUCUUGUUUGGAGGAAGAAACUGGGAAAAACAUCUGUCAUCUCCUCACCAGACCGAGUCUCGUUCUGUAGUCCAGGCUGGAGUGCAGUGGCGGGAUCUCCACUCACUGCAAGCUCCACCUUCCGGGUUAAAGCCAUUCUCCUGCCUCAGCCUGCUGAGUAGCUGAGACUACAGGCACUCCCCACCACACCCGGCUUAUUUUUUGUAUUUUUAGUAGAGACGGGGUUUCACCGUGUUAGCCAGGAUGGUCUCGAUCUCCUGACCUCGUGAUCUGCCUGCCUCGGCCUCCCAAAGUGCUGGUAUUACAGGCGUGAGCCACCACGCCAGGCCACAAUCUUUCAUUUUUAUAAUAAAUCAUUCAUGUGUAAUUGGUUUUAUUCUGAUCAUGAGGCUGAAACUAAAUGUUUUGGUCUUGGGUGAUAAUGGAAGCUUAAAGGUAAUAUCAACUACAAAGAGAGUUUUUAAACGUUUGGCCUGAAUAUUAUCAGCUUAAAAUUUGCACUGUUCUGUACCUGUUUCCCUUACAUAUCAAUUACUACUAUAUCACAUUUCAUUGGGUAGGAAUAAUCAAUAUUUUCAUUAAAUUACUUUAAGAGAUCAUCAAUUAAUAUACAUUUUCUAAUAAUUAUUAACAUAAACACUUUUUAAGUUGUAUUUUAAUGCAAACUAAAGAGCUUUAGAUACAUUCUGAGUCACAGAAUAAUAUCAAGCAGCAUAAUUUUAUGUCAAUCCCCACAAAUCAUAUAGCCUUAAAGAUGACUUUUUAAAUUUGUGAUUUUUUUUCUUUUAGUUCUGCAGGAUUAUUUUUUUGUUCUUAUUGUUGUUAAUAAGGAAUAACAUCUCUUUUCAUAAUUAUAGCAACAAAGUUUAGUUAAACAAAUUCAUCAGAUUUUAGUAAAUGAUAGCAUUCUAACUCUCAAAACAGUUAUCCCUAAAUAUAUUUGGUACAUGUUGUAAAACUAUAUUUAUUGUCAAGAGAAAAUGAAAUCUGGUUAUUAAGAUAUAUCAAGACUCUCCACUUUUUAAAUUAAGAAUAAAUCAAUUAUUCCUGGUGGAAUUUCCAAAACUAAUACUUCACCCAUCAACCUAAUUAGUAAUUAAAUAUAUCAAUAGCAUUGAAAAGAAGAAUGGCAUAUUAGUUAAGAUGCAUGAACUAUAUAAAGGUACAAUUCUCUUUUUAAAUGCACAUAUCCCAACAAAAUUUCUUUCACAAUAUGGCUAUAAAAUCAUAUGGUGAUUAACAACUGUAAAACUAGACAAAAUUUUUUCACUGUUUUCAGAAUAUAUUACUCCUUUUGGUAAACUGCUGUGGAAAAAAAAGUGCAGCUGUCACAUUCACAAAGUUAUCUCCCAUUGGCUAUGAGAAUUAUCUAAAUGUUACUAGCUUUCAUUUGCUCUUGUCAUCUGCAAAUGUGCCAAGUCGACUAGCCUUUCUAUUAAAAUAAAGACU